ACCUUCGUGGUGUAAUGGUCAGCACACUCGGCGCGUAUUCGAGAGGUCUGAGGUUCGAGUCCCGGCGAGGGCA
This 73-nucleotide transfer RNA is filed under the name Stegodyphus mimosarum. It matches the Rfam family "tRNA". From Rfam's summary of the family: Transfer RNA (tRNA) molecules are approximately 80 nucleotides in length. Their secondary structure includes four short double-helical elements and three loops (D, anti-codon, and T loops). Further hydrogen bonds mediate the characteristic L-shaped molecular structure. tRNAs have two regions of fundamental functional importance: the anti-codon, which is responsible for specific mRNA codon recognition, and the 3' end, to which the tRNAs corresponding amino acid is attached (by aminoacyl-tRNA synthetases). tRNAs cope with the degeneracy of the genetic code in two manners: having more than one tRNA (with a specific anti-codon) for a particular amino acid; and 'wobble' base-pairing, i.e. permitting non-standard base-pairing at the 3rd anti-codon position. Lineage: Eukaryota; Metazoa; Arthropoda; Arachnida; Araneae; Eresidae. The record is from Rfam by way of RNAcentral.